This is an unclassified non-coding RNA of Erinaceus europaeus (western European hedgehog), 295 nucleotides long. Its record names the gene 7SK. It matches the Rfam family "7SK RNA". Rfam says of the family: 7SK was discovered as an abundant small nuclear RNA in the mid-70s but a possible function has only recently been suggested. Two independent studies have found that 7SK RNA binds the CDK9/cyclin T complex (known as elongation factor P-TEFb). The record is from Ensembl. Lineage: Eukaryota; Metazoa; Chordata; Mammalia; Eulipotyphla; Erinaceidae.
GGAUGUGAGGGUGAUCUGGCUGCAACAUCUGUCACCCCAUUGAUCGCCAGGGUUGAUUCGGCUGAUCUGGCUGGCUAGUGUCCCCUUCCUCCCUCACCGCUCCAUGUGCGUUUCUCCCAAAGCUACAAGACUUCUACCAAACCUUCCCCGAGACCGGUCUUCAGUCUUCAGUCGAGGGUAUAUGAGUAGCUGUGCUCCCCUGCUAGGACCUCCAAACAAUGUUCAAGGACCUGGGUUCAAGCCUCUGGUUCCCACCUGCAGGGGGAAGGCUUUACAAGUGGUGAAGCAGGGCCCC